AUGAAGAAGAAACGUAUUCGCAACAGAGCCUCCCAAGAACGACUGACUAUGUUGACUGACAGAUUUAUUGACGAUCAGAAAGGAGCUACCGCUGAGAUGGGUAUGCAGGCUCUGAUGAACGUCCCGUGCACGAAUCUUGUCAACCCUGUAUGCGACUGGCUUGGUGAGAUUUACGACCCCGCCUCCAGGGAGUUUGUGAUUCCGGGAUGUGGAAGACUACCAUUGAACGAGGAAUCCAUGUUCUGCACUUCGGAUAUGCCUCGUGGACAGAUGAAAGUCCCGUACGAGGUCAAUAACGAGAUCGAGCAAGCGUUGUUCCCCCGUUUGUUUCCUGGGUUGGGAUCCAUGCCGAACACAUCUGUACUGGCAAAACUGAAAGAUGUGAAGAACAUGAACUGGUGUAAGUUCAUAGCCGACUUCCUGCACGAUGCAUUCUCAAGCAAGAUGUACCAAAAGGGUUGUCGACUGCAUUUAAUGCUCAUGUACGUCGACUGUCUUGAUCUGUCCACCGUGGAUUUCACUGGGACAGGAGGCCCGCCUCCUAUGCACAAGUUUGUUGUUUGUGCGUGGACUAUCAACACUGUCAAGGUUGUGCUUGCCGCAGACAGGGUAACUGAUACCAAGUAUGGAAAACUGCAGUUGAUGGCCAAGCAUGCUAUAGACUACAGCGUGUUUGAGGCGCCUCAAAACUUUGGAAAGUGGAUGGACGUGCACUCAGCUUCGUCUUGCCCGACUAAGGGCACCUGUUGA
RNAcentral lists this ribosomal RNA (750 nucleotides) under Triticum aestivum (bread wheat). RNAcentral describes it as "partial small subunit ribosomal RNA". The record is from RNAcentral. Lineage: Eukaryota; Viridiplantae; Streptophyta; Magnoliopsida; Poales; Poaceae.